AAUUGCACUAUCAAUGAAGGUGCAGUAUUCUAGUCACUCUACUUUGCUUGAAGACGGGGCUAAAAAUCCGUCAAAGGGCACAUCGAUGAAGUUCCUGGUGUCGGCUUAAGGCGCCCAGCUUUGGGUUGGUGCUGGGAGUAAAGGGCGUAGGGCGAUCCGCAACGGCAUGUGGGCGAAGACCCUGCGCCCGUGGAGACACGUACGUUGUUUGCUUUGUGCAAUAACUAUGUGGAAAACCUGUUUCGUCAGUACUUGAACAAUUUAGGAAAAGCGAACAGCGUAGCCUGCCUUGAGUGGGAAAGAGGGGAUGGAUGGCGAAUAACUUUGACCUGCUUGGCCAGUGGGAAAAGGGACGUCUUCCUGAAAUCAAUUCUGCAAAAGAGGCUAGAGCAAAGCUUCAAGAGUGCUUGAGGAAAUCUCCUAGACUGUCUGCAUCACUGCAGCGUUCGAAAAGGAUUAUGGUGCGGUCUAAGUGGCGUUCCAGUUCGAUGUAUGGCGACAACAUCGGUCAAAUUUUAAUAGGAAACUACCUGCUUGGCGACAACAGGCAAUUUGACGGGAAAACCUACUGGACCUAAGCCGCAAUGUUUACUUUUCGAACGACCUCACAUACAUAAUUUUCU
This 623-nucleotide small RNA is filed under the name Sporolactobacillus inulinus CASD. Lineage: Bacteria; Bacillati; Bacillota; Bacilli; Caryophanales; Sporolactobacillaceae. The record is from RNAcentral.